CCACAUUUACAUAUUACAAAAUAGCAACAAUUCAAAGUUUACCCAAACAAGGCCUUAACGAUUUCAAAAUUACAGAAAAGACCCCAAAAACACAGAAUUGCAGGAAAGCCUUCUGGAUUGCUUUGACUAGUGGCGGCGCGUGGACCUCACGCACCACAGCCACUGGCGGCGCGUGGGUUCACGCGCCGUCGCGAACAGAUGGAAAUGGGUGGGUCUGCUCAGCUUCGUCUCCCUUUUCUUCCCUGCACCUGUAUUGAUAACCCCUGUCACCUGCAAAAAGAACAAAACACAACAACAAGCUGUCCCCUUUUCUUCUUGGUUUUUUAUAUCUGCAUCCCACAGAUCCGGCUUCUCUUUCUUCUCCGUUUCAAAUCGCCGGCAAGGAAGAGGACCCGAACCAGAGGAGCGUCGCUGCUGUGGAAGAGGGGAUCGUGGGUCUGCCACCGGUUGAAGGAGAUGAUGACAGUGUUGCCCCGGCGCUGGAUCUGUUCGGUCGUCGCUGCUGUGGAAGGAAACCGAAGGAGAAGCAGCCGUGGCUGAGGAGGAGAUCGUGAAGGCCGGCGUGCAGGGGAGAUGAAGGAAGGAAUGGGUUCGGCCAGUUCUGGUUCGUUUUUAGAGAAGAUGGAAGUGGGGCUCUAGUUCUGUGAGCUGGAGGAUGGCAGAUCGGUGAGGGAGAAAAAUAAAGGGUGAAGUCUUUGGUUCUCCGUUUUUUCCUUUCCAAAAGGGAGUAGGGGGUUGCGGCUACAGUGUUGGAAAAAAGGGGAGAAGAUAGGGCCGGCCGCUGGACAUGGUUUUGAGGAAGAGAAUCAGGGGCUGUCUUGUGCCCUCUGUUUCGUUUGGCAAAAAUCAGGGGGAAGGAUGAGUGGCCGGCUAAUCUGUGCUGUCAAAGAGAAGGGAGAGCGACGGCCUGUUGGAUUUUUUGGAGGAGAAGGCUGCGGUUACAGUCUUGGAAAAAUGGGGAAAAGGGAGCAGACUCCCUUGCUGAGAGGGGUUCUCUGAUUUUUCAAAGGGGGCUGACUUGGUUUCAAGGGUGGUGGCUGGUUUGUGGAAAAGAAGAGAAAAAAAAACAAAACAGGGGGGCUCUUGGUUUGUCAAUGUUGCUGCUGUUUUGGGGGAGCAAAACGGGAGAAGAAAAUAAAUCAGAAGGGGAGCUUUAGGGGAGCUGCGGCUGUAGUUGGAGAAAAACCAAAAACCAGUGGGGGGCGUGUGUAUAGGAGAAGAAGGAAAAAUUCCCAAAAAAGUGCUAGCCUUUAUUUUAUUUUUUAUUUUUUUUUUUUAAAAAAGUAAAAUUUAGGGAAUAACCAAAAUUGGGUUAUGAAGUUGCCCCUCUUAAAUGCUUAUGAUAGAAAGUCUCGUAGGGGACUUUAGAUAGUAAGCGUUGUAAAGAAGAAAAAAGGAAGAUGUUUUUUUUUUUUUUUUUUUUAAAUUCAAAGAUUUGAAAUGGUCGAAUUGCCAUGGGUGACUACCCGGGUGAAAAACACGAAGAUGUUUUAAAGAGGUGAAAAUACAGAGAUUUUUCAAAGAGGUGAAAAAUAAGAGAUUUUUCAAAGUGGUUUUGUUGUAAUGGGCAACCGGCCCAAGAUGGAAAACAAAAAGAGUUUUCAAAGGUGGUGAGAAAUGCAAAUAUUUCUCAAAAUGGUUUUGUUGUAAUGGGCACCGGCCCAGAUGAAAGGUUUGAAAAAUACACAGAUUUUUUCAAAGAGGUGAAAAAUGCAGAGAUUUUUCAAAGUGGUGAAAAAUACAAAGAUUUUUCAAAGUGAUGAGAAAUGCAAAGAUUUCUCAAAAAUGGUUUUAUUGUUACGGGCAACCGGCCCAAGUGGAAAAGUUUGAAAGUGGGGAGAAAUGCAAGGAUUUCUCGAAAUGGUUUUAUUGUUAUGGGCAACCGGCCAAAUGAAGAUGUUUGAAGUUGGGGAGAAAUGCAAGGAUUUCUCGAAAUGGUUUUAUUGUUAUGGGCAACCGGCCCAAAUGGAAGAAUUUUGAAGUGGGGAGAAAUGCAAGGACUUCUCAAAAGUUUGAAAGUGGGGAGAAAUGCAAGGAUUUCUCAAAUGGUUUCAUUGUUAUGGGGCGACCGGCCCAAAUGGAAGAUGAAAAGAGUUUGAAAGAGGUCUGAUUAUAAUGGUGACGGCCCGGGCGAAAAGGCAAAAUGUCUGAAAGGGACGACAUGAUAGGACUCGAUGGGGAACGAGGGCUGAAGAGCACACUCGAAAGGAGAUAGGGUUCGAAAAACAUACUACCUAAGAGGUGAGUGGCUCCAAGGCGCACUCUAAAGAAGGCAAAUAGGGCUAGAAGCAACUACACAAGAGGUGAGGGCUCGAAGGAGCUCUCAAAAGAGGCAAGGUUGGAAACGCACCACUAAGGUGGUUAAUGGCCCUAAGGCGCACUCUAAGGGAGAUAGGGUUGGAAAACACACUACCUAAAGGGUUGAUGGCUUAAGGGCACUUAAAAGGAGAUAGAGUUGGAAAACGCACUACCUAAGAGUUGAUGGCCUAAGGCGCAACCUAAAGGAGGUAGGGUUAGAAAAACGCACUACCUGAGAGGUGAGGGCUCGAAGGAGCUCUCAAAAAAGAGGCAGGGUUGGAAAACACACUACCUAAGAUGGUUGAUGGCCCUAAGGCGCACUUAAAAAGAGAUAGGGUUGGAAACGCACCUAAGAUGGUUGAGGCUCUAAAGCGCACUAAAAAAGGAGGUAUGGUUAGAAACACAUUACUAAGGGGUGAGGGCUAAAAGACGCCCUCAAAAGGAGGUAGGGUUGGAAAAACACUACCUAAAAGGUUAGGGCUCGAAGGCACACUAAAAGAGGUAGGGUUAGAAAACACACUACCUAAGGGGAGGGCUAAAAGACGCCCUCAGAAGGAGGUAGGGUUGGAAAACACACUACCUAAAAGGUUAGGGCUCGAAAGGCACACUAUAAAAGAGGUAUGGUGAGACACCGAUCUAUCCAAGGAUGAAAGUAAUGCAUCAUGAACAAUAUGCAUGUAUACUUACUGAGAAGUAUAGGUCCCCUUUUCUUCAUAAAGUUCUCUUUUCUCAGAAGUUUGAGUCUCUGAUAGUAAGCUUUGAUGGCUUUUGUCCCCCUAGCUUACUCGAGAAUAUCUUACGAUCUUGGCCUCUAUGAAAGACUUGAUGUCAUCACUUCUUUGUUCUCCGGCCCUUUUAUCUCAAGGGUUGCCAAUUUUGCCCAAUAGUUUCUUAGAAAGGGAAUCAUGGAGCAAGCUCUACCAGAUGUUUUUGAUUGCCCCUUAGCUUGAUCAUGCCCCCAAGUAUUCAAUCGGGUUUGGGGAUGAGGCUAUGUGAAGGAAGGUUUGGCUUUUGACAAGGAGUUGUUUUCAUGUAGAAUUUUUGGAAUUUCAAAGCUAUUCCAAACACAGAAAUCAUUUUGACAUCGAUUCAAAGCGAACUCAUUCUGAAGAAAUUCAAGUGAUUCCUAUGGAGAGGUUUUCAGAAGUGAUGAAAACUUUUUGUUUUGAUUUUGGUGAAAAAAUAUGAAGUGACAUUUGGUUGGUCACAAAAAGUUGAAAUUUCAAUGAAGUGACAUCUGGUUGGUCACAAAAGGUUUAAAUUUCAAUGAAGUGACAUCUGGUUGGUCACAAAAGGUUUAAAUUUCAAUGAAGUGACAUCUGAUUGGUCACAAAAGGUUUAAAUUUCAAUGAAGUGACAUCUGGUUGGUCACAAAAGGUUUGAGUUUCAAUUUGAGGGUUAUUGAGAACCGUUUUCAAAGCAGUCAUUUUAUUUGCAUGAAUAAUGAUUUUAUUUCGCAUGAGAAAGCACUGCCUACCGAUCCAGAUUGCUUGCCUUUGAUCAGAAAGGGCUUCAUUAGGCACGUAAUGUAGGCUUGGGCUUUUGGCUUUGAAGAAAAUGAUAUAUGUAGGCUCAAAAGGUGUUUAAGGGACUUUAAGACUAAGGAUCACAAGUGCUUAUAUCCCAAACUCUUUUGUUCAUACAUUUCUGGACCUUGGAAUUGAUUUGUAAAAAUGGUCCACGGUGCCCCCCAGUGUUGGGUUUGGGCUGUUUCUCUUUGUUUUUGUUUUCUUCAUUUGAUUUUGAGCAUCAUUGCAUUAGUUUUUUUUUAUGCUCAGAAUUUUUGGAUCCUUUGGAUUUUUUUUUUCAUGCCAUAUAGCUUUGUAUGGGCACCUUCGAUGAUUGAGAAUUUUUUUUAUGCCCCCCCCAGUAUGGUUUGGGCACUUUCAUUGUUGAAGACUUUUUCAUGCCCCCAAGACUUAUUUGGGCACUUUCAAUCAUUAUGGAUUUUUUUUAGCACUUGCCCCCCAGUGUAGGGUGUGAUCCUAGCCAAGGUUAUUUUUCAAGAAAAAUUUAUUAGGCUCAAAAGGGGACUGCAAAUGAUAUAUUUCAGCUUUGCAAAAGGAUUAUCAAAGAUGGCCUUUCUUCAUCUCAAAUGCAUGCAUUUAGGAUCGGUAAGCCUUGCUUUCAUGCGAGUAUGCAACGUGAUUUCUCAUUAUUCAUGCAAUCAAAACUCAGCUUUUGAAGUCACUUCAUGGUGUUUUUUUUUUUUUUUUUUGGGUUUUCUAGGUGUAUGGUUACCUCUCUAAGAAAUCACCUGAAUUUCCAGAACUCAUUCGUUUCAAACAAACAUCAACAUGAUUUUUGUUUUUGUACUAAACUUUGAAUUCCCAAAAAUCCUUAUGAAAACAUGGGGUCCUGUUUUGUUUUGGGAAGAAAAGGGGAAACGCACCACAAGAUUUUGGGCGCGGUGGUUUCAUGCUUAAAGGUUACGCUCAAUGUGUUAUUUGCAUGAAACAACAAAAAUGAUGGCAUGUGAUGAACACAACAAAACACAAGAAAGGCUCAAUGGACAUGGAAAGUCUUGUGGAAUUUUGAGCCAAAUUGCCAACAAAAACUGGAGUAGGUUGAAAUAAAAAAUCAAGUUUUUGGAGGCAUGAUCAAACAGAGGUAGUUAUUUUGGCAGAGCAAGAACAUGCUCCAUUCUGCAACGGUGAUGCAAUUCCCCUUCAGAUUGUGUUGAGGCUUUUGAUCAUGUUGGCCCCUAAUUUCUUCGGGUUGAGUUGGGGCUGAACAAAAAUAGUUGGCCGAUUGGAAGGACCUUCACUAGAGGCAUUUCUAAGUGUUUGCUCGAGUAAGCUAGUGAGGCGAGCCACACUUGCUUUCAGAGACUCUAACUCUUCUUGGAAAUGGAUGCUGCGGUGAGCACGCUCUUUGUCUCCAAUGUUUUUUUCUCUCAAAAUCAGGUGUUGUAGACUCGGAGGGGACCUACUUUUUAUUCUGGUGCAUGCAUGACAAAUGUAUGAACAUGAAGUCUAUAUGAUGAACUCGCCCUUCGAGGGGUGACAACAUGGUCGUAACUCUUGUAUGAUGGAACAAGAAUUGUGAUUUUUGCCCAAACUCUACAAUGAAAUAUUUCCGAGUGACGACCAAUGUGUCACCCACAAAUCUUGAGUUCAAGAUGCUUCAAGAAGGGUUCGCCCUGAUGCAAAUAAAUGAUAGCACAUACAACCUAAGGACAUGUUCUAUUCAUUGUGUGAACAUGGGUAGGUUUUCUACCUGGUCUCAAAAGGUCUAUGAACUGCCCAGUGACGACCUCACGUGAAGGCAGUAUAGGGGUUUACAAGGAAUGGUUGGGGCACCAUGUGACCACCAUUAUCGAGUAAACACUCAGCUCAUAGUUGGAUGUUUCACAAAUCUGAACCCCGACUGAAAGUCAUGAGGUAGACUGCUACUCCCCACCUAACUUAGAAGCUUGUGUGUGCAUUCAAAAAUAAAUACGUGAUGCAUGAAACAAUUCUAUAAAAUGCAUGCAUAAAAUAAAACCAGACAAAAAUGGCAAAAUUUAAACACAUCAAGUACACAAAGCUUAGUCCAAUAUUGUCAGAAACAGUACCUCCCCAGUGGAGUCGCCAUUCUGUCGCAUGUCGAAAAAUCCAUCGCACGCGGCAUCGGCUGGCGAUUUAUGUCUCGUUGUUGUAUUGCUUGAAUUGGUUCGUUAGGAGUCGCCACCUAGUAUUUAAUUGAGGUUACUAGGAAACCCUGGUGGACUGGUCAUGGUCAGAGACUCGCGGGUAAGGGACUGGUUGUGGUUAGGGAAGGUGUUAGCACCCCUAACACACCCUACCUGAGGUAAGCUGCUCCGUGGACUUGAUGUGUUAAAAGAAGUUUAAAAAAUUGUCUUUUCAUCGGAUUUUAAAAAUACAACUUCCGUACAAGUUUGUACUUCUACACCGUGAUCCAAUCAAAAUAUUAAUUCCUUCUUUAUUCCUGCAAUUUUACCAUAAAAUUCACAAACACAAUGCGCACACCACAUUCAAACUUCGUGAGCUUGAUGUAAUUUUUAAAAUAGAAUUUUAGCCCACUUCUAAGGCUACGAUACAUCAGUUAUUAAUUCCCAGAAUAUAUGUAGAAACAUGUUCUUACAUUUUCAUGGAAAAUACAACAUGAUUUUAUCCAUCCUUAGAAUUUGUGCAUGCUCAAAUUAAACAAUUAAUUCCUUUUUUGUUUUUUUUAUUUUUAUAAUACAAUAUAAUAAAUAAAUAUAAAAAACACACACACACAACUUUUUUAUUAUUAUUUGUUUUUCUUUUCUUUUCCACAUUUACAUAUUACAAAAUAGCAACAAUUCAAAGUUUACCCAAACAAGGCCUUAACGAUUUCAAAAUUACAGAAAAGACCCCAAAAACACAGAAUUGCAGGAAAGCCUUCUGGAUUGCUUUGACUAGUGGCGGCGCGUGGACCUCACGCACCACAGCCACUGGCGGCGCGUGGGUUCACGCGCCGUCGCGAACAGAUGGAAAUGGGUGGGUCUGCUCAGCUUCGUCUCCCUUUUCUUCCCUGCACCUGUAUUGAUAACCCCUGUCACCUGCAAAAAGAACAAAACACAACAACAAGCUGUCCCCUUUUCUUCUUGGUUUUUUAUAUCUGCAUCCCACAGAUCCGG
This 6904-nucleotide long non-coding RNA is filed under the name Populus tremula. Its description in RNAcentral is "long non-coding RNA (PTRE_LNC000370)". The record is from RNAcentral. Lineage: Eukaryota; Viridiplantae; Streptophyta; Magnoliopsida; Malpighiales; Salicaceae.